AUGGAAUAUGUUGCGUACCUAGUGGAUGCUCGUUUCUUGGUUGGAUACCAAGCUGUGGAUGCCGUUGGAGCAACAGAAGAGAGGAGGGAAGAACUCAUAAGGGCUAGGAAUGAAAGGAGAAGGAUUGCAGCUCAACUGGCAACUAGUAGAGCUGCUUUGGCAAGGCCUGACUCUCUGCAGCAAAACAUGAGCAGGCACCAAGAAAGUGCAUUGAUUGGAUUAGGUGGACAGAUCUUGGUGCUGCUCAAGCUUCUGUUAGGUAGUGUGAUGUUGUUGUGUGCCCUCAGUGUUCUACUGUUGAUGAAGAAGUGA
Molecule: ribosomal RNA, 312 nt
Filed under: Triticum aestivum (bread wheat)
Lineage: Eukaryota; Viridiplantae; Streptophyta; Magnoliopsida; Poales; Poaceae
Description: partial small subunit ribosomal RNA
Source: RNAcentral